GACGAACGCUGGCGGCGUGCCUAAUACAUGCAAGUCGAACGAACUCUGGUAUUGAUUGGUGCUUGCAUCAUGAUUUACAUUUGAGUGAGUGGCGAACUGGUGAGUAACACGUGGGAAACCUGCCCAGAAGCGGGGGAUAACACCUGGAAACAGAUGCUAAUACCGCAUAACAACUUGGACCGCAUGGUCCGAGCUUGAAAGAUGGCUUCGGCUAUCACUUUUGGAUGGUCCCGCGGCGUAUUAGCUAGAUGGUGGGGUAACGGCUCACCAUGGCAAUGAUACGUAGCCGACCUGAGAGGGUAAUCGGCCACAUUGGGACUGAGACACGGCCCAAACUCCUACGGGAGGCAGCAGUAGGGAAUCUUCCACAAUGGACGAAAGUCUGAUGGAGCAACGCCGCGUGAGUGAAGAAGGGUUUCGGCUCGUAAAACUCUGUUGUUAAAGAAGAACAUAUCUGAGAGUAACUGUUCAGGUAUUGACGGUAUUUAACCAGAAAGCCACGGCUAACUACGUACCAGCAGCCGCGGUAAUACGUAGGUGGCAAGCGUUGUCCGGAUUUAUUGGGCGUAAAGCGAGCGCAGGCGGUUUUUUAAGUCUGAUGUGAAAGCCUUCGGCUCAACCGAAGAAGUGCAUCGGAAACUGGGAAACUUGAGUGCAGAAGAGGACAGUGGAACUCCAUGUGUAGCGGUGAAAUGCGUAGAUAUAUGGAAGAACACCAGUGGCGAAGGCGGCUGUCUGGUCUGUAACUGACGCUGAGGCUCGAAAGUAUGGGUAGCAAACAGGAUUAGAUACCCUGGUAGUCCAUACCGUAAACGAUGAAUGCUAAGUGUUGGGGGGUUUCCGCCCUUCAGUGCUGCAGCUAACGCAUUAAGCAUUCCGCCUGGGGAGUACGGCCGCAAGGCUGAAACUCAAAGGAAUUGACGGGGGCCCGCACAAGCGGUGGAGCAUGUGGUUUAAUUCGAAGCUACGCGAAGAACCUUACCAGGUCUUGACAUACUAUGCAAAUCUAAGAGAUUAGACGUUCCCUUCGGGGACAUGGAUACAGGUGGUGCAUGGUUGUCGUCAGCUCGUGUCGUGAGAUGUUGGGUUAAGUCCCGCAACGAGCGCAACCCUUAUUAUCAGUUGCCAGCAUUAAGUUGGGCACUCUGGUGAGACUGCCGGUGACAAACCGGAGGAAGGUGGGGAUGACGUCAAAUCAUCAUGCCCCUUAUGACCUGGGCUACACACGUGCUACAAUGGAUGGUACAACGAGUUGCGAACUCGCGAGAGUAAGCUAAUCUCUUAAAGCCAUUCUCAGUUCGGAUUGUAGGCUGCAACUCGCCUACAUGAAGUCGGAAUCGCUAGUAAUCGCGGAUCAGCAUGCCGCGGUGAAUACGUUCCCGGGCCUUGUACACACCGCCCGUCACACCAUGAGAGUUUGUAACACCCAAAGUCGGUGGGGUAACCUUUUAGGAACCAGCCGCCUAAGGUGGGACAGAUGAUUAGGGUG
RNAcentral lists this ribosomal RNA (1489 nucleotides) under Lactiplantibacillus argentoratensis. Its description in RNAcentral is "bacterial SSU rRNA". It matches the Rfam family "Bacterial small subunit ribosomal RNA". Lineage: Bacteria; Bacillati; Bacillota; Bacilli; Lactobacillales; Lactobacillaceae. The record is from RNAcentral.